CCGCUGCCCGAGUCCCUCUUGAAAUGGGCAGGGCAGGGAGGGCGUGGGUACCAGCGCAGGUGCUGGGGCUCAUUUCUUAGGCCUGUGUCAUGGCUAUGACCCUUGGCCGGCUGGGGUGGGGGCUGUAUCUAUGACGCCACCAAGGCCGUGAGUGUCCCUGGGGUGCCUUGGAAUAGGAGGUGGAAACAGGCCCGACAAGAGCUGGCUGUGGGGGAAGAGCAAUGGUGUGUGGAGGUGGGGAAGGCCCUAUCUAGGGACAAGCAGAAAACUUAGGGUGGGCAGAUCCCCCCGACCCCUGUGCAGGGGCUGCCAGAGACCAGAGAGGCUGCUGUGUGACCUGGACCAAGCCCCUUGCCCUCUCAUGCUUCCGUUUCGCCUUCUCUCCACGGAGGGAUUGAGCAGGACAUGGAGGGCCCCUUCCAGUAGCCAUUCUGGGACUCCCUGCACCUGUCCCCAGGGGAGGGUCCUGAGCUGGCUUCCACGUGGCUGCUGUUCCCCAUAGUGGAACCUUGUGUGUGGAGACGGCUGGAAGGUCCCGCUGGAGCAGGGUUCAGCUAGACCUGGUGCUGCCAGGAUGAAGGUUGGACCCUGGGUCAUCCUGACCCUGUCCAAGCAUGUCCCCCGCUGCCCAACAGGUUUGGACGCCGGGCAGUUUUUGUGGCCUCCCUGGUGCUGACCACAGGCCUGGGGGCCAGUGAGGCCCUGGCUGCCAGCUUCCCUACCCUGCUGGUCCUGCGCCUACUCCAUGGGGGGACAUUGGCAGGGGCCCUCCUCGCCCUGUACCUGGCUCG
RNAcentral lists this small RNA (791 nucleotides) under Pongo abelii (Sumatran orangutan). RNAcentral's name for it is "retained intron". Lineage: Eukaryota; Metazoa; Chordata; Mammalia; Primates; Hominidae. The record is from RNAcentral.